Molecule: ribosomal RNA, 253 nt
Filed under: uncultured bacterium
Lineage: Bacteria
Description: partial 16S ribosomal RNA
Rfam family: Bacterial small subunit ribosomal RNA
Source: RNAcentral
CACGUAGGGCGCGAGCGUUGUCCGGAAUUAUUGGGCGUAAAGAGCUCGUAGGCGGCCUGUUGCGUCCGCUGUGAAAGCCCGGAGCUUAACUCCGGAGGGUCGGUGGAUACUGCCAGUCUUGAAGGUGCUAGGGGGAGAUGGAAUUACCGGUGUAGCGGUGAAAUGCGUAGAUAUCGGUAGGAACACCAGUGGCGAAGGCGGUCUCCUGGGGCAUUCUUGACGCUGAGGCGCGAAAGCUGGGGGAGCAAACGGG